GACGACGCUGGCGGCGUGCCUAACACAUGCAAGUCGAGCGAGUGAAUCUCCUUCGGGAGUGAAGCUAGCGGCGGACGGGUGAGUAACACGUGGGCAACCUGCCUCAUAGAGGGGAAUAGCCUUUCGAAAGGAAGAUUAAUACCGCAUAAGAUUGUAGCUUCGCAUGAAGUAGCAAUUAAAGGAGCAAUCCGCUAUGAGAUGGGCCCGCGGCGCAUUAGCUAGUUGGUGAGGUAACGGCUCACCAAGGCGACGAUGCGUAGCCGACCUGAGAGGGUGAUCGGCCACAUUGGGACUGAGACACGGCCCAGACUCCUACGGGAGGCAGCAGUGGGGAAUAUUGCACAAUGGGGGAAACCCUGAUGCAGCAACGCCGCGUGAGUGAUGACGGCCUUCGGGUUGUAAAGCUCUGUCUUCAGGGACGAUAAUGACGGUACCUGAGGAGGAAGCCACGGCUAACUACGUG
Molecule: ribosomal RNA, 463 nt
Filed under: uncultured bacterium
Lineage: Bacteria
Description: bacterial SSU rRNA
Rfam family: Bacterial small subunit ribosomal RNA
Source: RNAcentral